Pseudonaja textilis is the source of this 206-nucleotide non-coding RNA. The record is from RefSeq and is a predicted model, not a curated record. Lineage: Eukaryota; Metazoa; Chordata; Lepidosauria; Squamata; Elapidae.
GUGAGAGAAGGAGAAGGAAAUGAGGUCAGGAGGAAUCUGUGGGAACCAAACAUCAGCCUGGUUGCCUGAUCCUCUCCCUAAAAAUGCCAGAAUGAUGUGAAAUGCCAUGCUUGACUGGCUCCCAGCAGUGGAGGGAAAUCUUCAUCCCUCUUCUAUGAGUCUUUCUUGAUUUCCUGAUAAAAACCUCCUUUGCAGAAAGAAUUCAG